GCCGGGUGUGGUAGUGCACACCUGUAAUCCCAGCUACUUGGGAAGCUGAGACAGGAGAAUCACUUGAACCUGGGAGGCAGAGGUUGCAGUGAGCCGAGACUGCACCACUGCACUCCAGCCUGGGUGACAGAGAGAGACCCUGUCUCAA
RNAcentral lists this non-coding RNA (148 nucleotides) under Gorilla gorilla gorilla (western lowland gorilla). Lineage: Eukaryota; Metazoa; Chordata; Mammalia; Primates; Hominidae. The record is from Rfam by way of RNAcentral.